CCUACGGGAGGCAGCAGUGGGGAAUAUUGGACAAUGGGGGCAACCCUGAUCCAGCCAUGCCGCGUGUGUGAAGAAGGCCCUCGGGUUGUAAAGCACUUUCAGUGAGGAAGAACGCCUGGUGGUUAAUACCCAUCAGGAAAGACAUCACUCACAGAAGAAGCACCGGCUAACUCCGUGCCAGCAGCCGCGGUAAUACGGAGGGUGCGAGCGUUAAUCGGAAUUACUGGGCGUAAAGCGCGCGUAGGUGGCUUGAUAAGCCGGUUGUGAAAGCCCCGGGCUCAACCUGGGAACGGCAUCCGGAACUGUCAAGCUAGAGUGCAGGAGAGGAAGGUAGAAUUCCCGGUGUAGCGGUGAAAUGCGUAGAGAUCGGGAGGAAUACCAGUGGCGAAGGCGGCCUUCUGGACUGACACUGACACUGAGGUGCGAAAGCGUGGGUAGCAAACAGGAUUAGAUAUCCGAGUAGUC
This 465-nucleotide ribosomal RNA is filed under the name Vreelandella stevensii. Its description in RNAcentral is "partial 16S ribosomal RNA". It matches the Rfam family "Bacterial small subunit ribosomal RNA", at positions 338 to 795 of the family's 1533-position model. Lineage: Bacteria; Pseudomonadati; Pseudomonadota; Gammaproteobacteria; Oceanospirillales; Halomonadaceae. The record is from RNAcentral.